This 322-nucleotide ribosomal RNA is filed under the name uncultured Chloroflexota bacterium. RNAcentral describes it as "bacterial SSU rRNA". It matches the Rfam family "Bacterial small subunit ribosomal RNA", at positions 28 to 351 of the family's 1533-position model. Lineage: Bacteria; Bacillati; Chloroflexota. The record is from RNAcentral.
GAUGAACGCUGGCGGCGUGCUUAAUACAUGCAAGUCGAACGAAGUCAGUAGCAAUAUUGGCUGAGUGGCGAAUGGGUGAGUAACGCGUUGGUGACCUGCCCCAAAGAGAGGGAUAACAGUUCGAAAGGACUGCUAAUACCCCAUGUGGCUGCAAGGGUUAGAGACCUUGCAACUAAAGGAGCAAUCCGCUUUGGGAGGGGCCUGCGUCCCAUCAGCUAGUUGGUAGGGUAAUGGCCUACCAAGGCAACGACGGGUAGGGGGCCUGAGAGGGUGGUCCCCCACACUGGCACUGAAACACGGGCCAGACACCUACGGGAGGCAG